RNAcentral lists this ribosomal RNA (301 nucleotides) under uncultured bacterium. RNAcentral describes it as "partial 16S ribosomal RNA". It matches the Rfam family "Bacterial small subunit ribosomal RNA", at positions 509 to 807 of the family's 1533-position model. The record is from RNAcentral.
CAGUAGCCACGGUAAUACGGAGGGCGCGAGCGUUACCCGGAUUUACUGGGCGUAAAGCGUGCGUAGGUGGUGGUUUAAGUCCGUUGUGAAAGCCCUGGGCUCAACCUGGGAAUUGCAGUGGAUACUGGGUCACUAGAGUGUGGUAGAGGAUAGUGGAAUUUCCGGUGUAGCAGUGAAAUGCGUAGAGAUCGGAAGGAACAUCUGUGGCGAAGGCGACUAUCUGGGCCAACACUGACACUGAGGCACGAAAGCGUGGGGAGCAAACAGGAUUAGAUACCCCCGUAGUCCCUGUCUCUUAUAC